CGGGGUGGCGGAAUGGCAGACGCGGCGGACUUAAAAUCCGCUGUCCGUAAGGGCGUGCGGGUUCAAAUCCCGCCCUCGGC
Molecule: transfer RNA, 80 nt
Filed under: marine eukaryotic metagenome
Rfam family: tRNA
About the family: Transfer RNA (tRNA) molecules are approximately 80 nucleotides in length. Their secondary structure includes four short double-helical elements and three loops (D, anti-codon, and T loops).
Source: RNAcentral